Molecule: ribosomal RNA, 584 nt
Filed under: uncultured fungus
Lineage: Eukaryota; Fungi
Description: eukaryotic LSU rRNA
Rfam family: 5.8S ribosomal RNA (bases 220-372)
Source: RNAcentral
UCGUAACAAGGUUUCCGUAGGUGAACCUGCGGAAGGAUCAUUACCGAGUGAGGGCCCUCUGGGUCCAACCUCCCACCCGUGUUUAUUUUACCUUGUUGCUUCGGCGGGCCCGCCUUAACUGGCCGCCGGGGGGCUUACGCCCCCGGGCCCGCGCCCGCCGAAGACACCCUCGAACUCUGUCUGAAGAUUGUAGUCUGAGUGAAAAUAUAAAUUAUUUAAAACUUUCAACAACGGAUCUCUUGGUUCCGGCAUCGAUGAAGAACGCAGCGAAAUGCGAUACGUAAUGUGAAUUGCAAAUUCAGUGAAUCAUCGAGUCUUUGAACGCACAUUGCGCCCCCUGGUAUUCCGGGGGGCAUGCCUGUCCGAGCGUCAUUGCUGCCCUCAAGCACGGCUUGUGUGUUGGGCCCCGUCCUCCGAUCCCGGGGGACGGGCCCGAAAGGCAGCGGCGGCACCGCGUCCGGUCCUCGAGCGUAUGGGGCUUUGUCACCCGCUCUGUAGGCCCGGCCGGCGCUUGCCGAUCAACCCGAAUUUUUAUCCAGGUUGACCUCGGAUCAGGUAGGGAUACCCGCUGAACUUAAGCAUAU